This 441-nucleotide ribosomal RNA is filed under the name Triticum aestivum (bread wheat). RNAcentral describes it as "partial small subunit ribosomal RNA". The record is from RNAcentral. Lineage: Eukaryota; Viridiplantae; Streptophyta; Magnoliopsida; Poales; Poaceae.
CUGCUCGCACUUUCUAUAUGGAGCUGGGAGUGAUUGCCGGUUGGACGACCGAAGACCGUGAAGUACGAGGAUUGGAACAACCAUGACGACCCACUACGGUACCCCACUUGGGGUUACAAGUGGGAUGUGGUAAAUGAGACGACGGAUGAUCCCUCAGUCAUGUACAAGUUGUACAAGAGCGAGCUAGACACGGUCACAGGUGAGCAGGUGUCGGUGUUCUGGAUAUGGGGUUAUCCAGCCCUGCCUGUCUGCGGCCCACCACGUGGCUCCAUCGAUGGCCUGGUACGGCCCAACUUCAGCAUCAACAACUCAAGACCCUCGCGAGGGGCCAAGCCUUGCGAGGCGAACGGCGCCAAGACCCCUGAGGGGAUCGGCCUCUUCAGGCUGGCUCCCGAGGGGUGGAGAGUUCUAUGCAAGGUUUACCUCACGAGGCUCAGCUGA